Molecule: transfer RNA, 63 nt
Filed under: Ledra auditura
Lineage: Eukaryota; Metazoa; Arthropoda; Insecta; Hemiptera; Cicadellidae
Also listed under: 1 other name
Description: tRNA-Asp
Source: RNAcentral
AAGGAUUUAGUUUAAUUAAAACUUUAAUUUGUCAGGUUAAGAAUAUUUUUUAUUCCUUGAUUC